This 497-nucleotide ribosomal RNA is filed under the name uncultured bacterium. RNAcentral's name for it is "partial 16S ribosomal RNA". It matches the Rfam family "Bacterial small subunit ribosomal RNA", at positions 28 to 507 of the family's 1533-position model. The record is from RNAcentral.
GAUGAACGCUGGCGGCGUGCCUAAUACAUGCCAGUCGAGCGAACAGACGAGGAGCUUGCUCCUCUGACGUUAGCGGCGGACGGGUGAGUAACACGUGGAUAACCUACCUAUAAGACUGGGAUAACUUCGGGAAACCGGAGCUAAUACCGGAUAAUAUAUUGAACCGCAUGGUUCAAUAGUGAAAGACGGUUUUGCUGUCACUUAUAGAUGGAUCCGCGCCGCAUUAGCUAGUUGGUAAGGUAACGGCUUACCAAGGCAACGAUGCGUAGCCGACCUGAGAGGGUGAUCGGCCACACUGGAACUGAGACACGGUCCAGACUCCUACGGGAGGCAGCAGUAGGGAAUCUUCCGCAAUGGGCGAAAGCCUGACGGAGCAACGCCGCGUGAGUGAUGAAGGUCUUCGGAUCGUAAAACUCUGUUAUUAGGGAAGAACAAAUGUGUAAGUAACUAUGCACGGCUUGACGGUACCUAAUCAGAAAGCCACGGCUAACUACGUG